This 886-nucleotide ribosomal RNA is filed under the name Starmerella bombicola. RNAcentral describes it as "eukaryotic LSU rRNA". The stretch from base 373 to 886 matches the Rfam family "Eukaryotic large subunit ribosomal RNA", at positions 1 to 537 of the family's 3401-position model. The record is from RNAcentral. Lineage: Eukaryota; Fungi; Ascomycota; Dipodascomycetes; Dipodascales; Trichomonascaceae.
UACACGCCAACAUUGUGAAACGCACUUUCGGGUGCAUUGAAUGAGUGCUUUCGGGCACGCUUUUCUUUUAACUUUUAUUUUUAUAUCUGACAACCAAGAAAAUUUAAAACUUUCAACAACGGAUCUCUUGGUUCUCGCAUCGAUGAAGAACGCAGCAAAGCGCGAUAGGUAAUGCGAAUUGCAGACGUGAGUCAUUGAAUCUUUGAACGCACAUUGCGCUACUGGGCUAUAUGCUCAGUAGCAUGCUUGUUGGAGCGCCGAUCUUUCUCCUCUACCUGUUUCGACAGGCCUGAGGGUUCUGCUCCCGCCGGGAGUGAAAGACAUGGAAGUGCACACGUUAGAUAACUCUGUGCAGUUACACUUUUAUAUUUUUGGCCCCCAAUCAAGCAAGGCUACCCGCUGAACUUAAGCAUAUCAAUAAGCGGAGGAAAAGAAACCAACAGGGAUUGCCCUAGUAACGGCGAGUGAACAGGCAAGAGCUCAGAUUUGAAAGCCUCUCGGGGCAUUGUAUUCUGAAGCCUUGAUUCUGAGAAACGGUACCUAAGUCUUCUGGAAAGGAGCGCCAAGGAGGGUGAUAGCCCCGUACGGUACUGACCUCAUUGUAGAAUCUUGGCGUGGAGUCGAGUUGUUUGGGAAUGCAGCUCAAAUGGGUGGUAUGCUCCAUCUAAAGCUAAAUAUCUGCGAGAGACCGAUAGCGAACAAGUACUGUGAAGGAAAGAUGAAAAGAACUUUGAAAAGAGAGUGAAAAAGUACGUGAAAUUGUUGAAAUGGAAGGAUAGGCCGCUAACCACGUAGAGCCGUGUCUGAGGGGAGGAUAAAAGCUGUAGAAUGUGACUCUUCGGAGUGUUAUAGCUACAGUGCAUACUCCCACUCGGGCGCGAGACCU